Molecule: ribosomal RNA, 253 nt
Filed under: uncultured bacterium
Lineage: Bacteria
Description: partial 16S ribosomal RNA
Rfam family: Bacterial small subunit ribosomal RNA
Source: RNAcentral
UACAGAGAGUGCAAACGUUGUUCGGAAUUACUGGGCUUAAAGCGCACGUAGGCGGCAUCGUAAGUGUCAAGUGAAAUCCCACGGCUCACCCGUGGAACUGCUUGGCCUACUGCGGAGCUAGAGUGUGGUAGGGGAGAGCGGAACUCUUGGUGGAGCGGUGAAAUGCGUAGAUAUCAAGAGGAACACCGGUGGCGAAGGCGGCUCUCUGGUCCACAACUGACGCUGAGGUGCGAAAGCUAGGGGAGCAAACGGG